Molecule: ribosomal RNA, 245 nt
Filed under: uncultured bacterium
Lineage: Bacteria
Description: partial 16S ribosomal RNA
Rfam family: Bacterial small subunit ribosomal RNA
Source: RNAcentral
GACGGAGGGAGCAAGCGUUGUCCGGAUUUACUGGGCGUAAAGCGCGCGUAGGCGGCCUGCUAAGUCGGCUGUGAAAUUGCGGGGCUUAACUCCGCACCUGCAGUCGAUACUGGCAGGCUCGAGUUCGGGAGAGGGAAGUGGAAUUCCUGGUGUAGCGGUGGAAUGCGUAGAUAUCAGGAAGAACACCGGUGGCGAAGGCGGCUUCCUGGACCGAUACUGACGCUGAGGCGCGAAAGCUAGGGGAG